RNAcentral lists this ribosomal RNA (254 nucleotides) under uncultured bacterium. Its description in RNAcentral is "partial 16S ribosomal RNA". It matches the Rfam family "Bacterial small subunit ribosomal RNA", at positions 524 to 776 of the family's 1533-position model. The record is from RNAcentral.
UACGAAGGGGGCUAGCGUUGCUCGGAAUGACUGGGCGUAAAGGGCGCGUAGGCGGAUGGUACAGUCAGAUGUGAAAUUCCCGGGCUUAACCUGGGGGGCUGCAUUUGAUACGUGCGAUCUGGAGUGAGGAAGAGGGUCGUGGAAUUCCCAGUGUAGAGGUGAAAUUCGUAGAUAUUGGGAAGAACACCGGUGGCGAAGGCGGCGACCUGGUCCUUGACUGACGCUGAGGCGCGAAAGCGUGGGGAGCAAACAGG